CGGACGGGUGAGUAAUGUCUGGGAAACUGCCCGAUGGAGGGGGGUAACUACUGGAAACGGUAGCUAUACCGCAUAACGUCGCAAGACCAAAGAGGGGGACCUUCGGGCCUCUUGCCAUCGGAUGUGCCCAGAUGGGAUUAGCUAGUAGGUGGGGUAAUGGCUCACCUAGGCGACGAUCCCUAGCUGGUCUGAGAGGAUGACCAGCCACACUGGAACUGAGACACGGUCCAG
This 231-nucleotide ribosomal RNA is filed under the name uncultured bacterium. RNAcentral's name for it is "partial 16S ribosomal RNA". It matches the Rfam family "Bacterial small subunit ribosomal RNA", at positions 99 to 334 of the family's 1533-position model. The record is from RNAcentral.